ACAAAUGGCCUCAUGUCCGGCAGGGUGGUGUAAUUCAUUCUCCCCGUGAAAACUAUUUCCUCCUCACGGUUAACUCGAUCCAGAGGCUGCGCCCAUCUCUCCCACGUCAACAGUCCUGUGUCCUUGGCGGAGGACAGUGCUCUCAUUCUGGGCCUUUCCCUUGUUCCUCGGCCAAACCCCUGCUUCUGCACCUCCCUGCAGCUAGUCAAGCUCCCGAUGCCGGGAAAGCCCCGCCCGCUGUCACUCACAGGGAUGAGUGAAAGCUGAUGAGGCCACACUUGUCCUAAUCCACAGCUCUCCUUGCCUCCUCCAUUCCCAUUUCCCCAGAGCAGCUACCUCUGUCCCAGGCCUCAGGGCUGUCCCUGGGCUGAAGUGGAAUCCAGCCACAACCACCUUCCAAAGCCAACAGUCACCGUGAACCUGCAGAAAGGCAAGAGCUGGGCACAUCCUGACAUAGAGUAAAGAAAGUCUCCCAGUGAAAAGACAGGAAGGCAGUAUUUGGGGAGCCCUGUGCUGAGUGGAGGUGGGUGGGGAUAUUUCCUUGGCUUCCAGAGCCUCUUGUCUGAUGGGAUCAGCCGCUCCAGCAGUAGCCACCUGGCCCAGCUUUGGGAGAUGUGGAGAUUGAAUUUCACAGUGAUUUCCACUGGGCCAUGGCACCGAGACAGCUGCAGGAGGGCACACAGCUGGCGCUGCCCCACCCCUUGCAGAGCUGCUCUGGAGGAAUGCCACCCUCCCCAUGGGAAGCGAGAGGGUCCUACUUGCUGUGGUUCCAUGGGAAGGGACCUCUACGCUAAACCCUCAUUUUGAGGGCACGAGCUGGCCUUCAUUAGAGUAAAAUCCCAACAUCACUUAUUCCAGUAGCUCCCCAACCUGGAUAAACAUCAGGAUCACUCGGGAUGUUUAUUUUUAAAAUGAAGAUUAAUAAAAAUAAUGAUUUUGUGAACCCA
Molecule: long non-coding RNA, 947 nt
Organism: Myotis brandtii (Brandt's bat)
Lineage: Eukaryota; Metazoa; Chordata; Mammalia; Chiroptera; Vespertilionidae
Exons: 2
Source: RefSeq, a predicted model, not a curated record